Carassius gibelio (silver crucian carp) is the source of this 991-nucleotide long non-coding RNA. RefSeq lists it as uncharacterized. Lineage: Eukaryota; Metazoa; Chordata; Actinopteri; Cypriniformes; Cyprinidae. The transcript is spliced from 3 exons. The record is from RefSeq and is a predicted model, not a curated record.
UGAAUUAAGGGCAGUCAUCGCUAAUGGCAUCACAUCGAGCGCAAAAGAACCGGUGAACCGUUUUUUUUUUUUUCAACUGGUUUAUUUGAUCGAAUUGUCCGAAAGAACCGGUUCACUUGAGCACCUGCUCCUUUGCCCCAAAAAUUUAGUCGUAAAUAAAAUGACCAAUAUGUUGACCUUUCACCUGACCGGGAAAAUUCCUCAGGCCGCACGCGCAUUUUUAAUUGCUCAAAGAUAUUUUCAGAACCGUGGCAGCUGUUUUUAUCAUUUACGCACCGCUUCGGCUCAGAGUUUUGGAGAGGUUCUUUCCCUCAUUUUCAGCAAAACACUGAAUUUCAUCGGCUUCAUUCCACUCCUCUUCAGAAACAGAGAGAUGAGCUCGAGUGAAUUCUGUGGCUGAAUCAGUGUUGUUUGUCCAGGCAGACUCGGUCCAUCCAGCUCGCUCCUUCUGUCCAAUCAUCCAGAACACACGCACCUGAGACGGGACAAGUCCAGUCACGAGACACUGCAGUGAUACCGAUGGAGAAUCAGGUUCAUGUGGUGUGUAUAAGAUGGAGAGUUCUGGUUCAGAUUGAUCUCCAGCAGGGACAAUAAAGACAAAAUAUCAUUUGUUUUAGGAACUGUGACCCUAGAAAAGAUAUGGAAGAGAUUUCACAUCAAAUUUACCUUUUACGAUCACCCUGCUCCCAUUGCCGACGACAGCCAUAUCCAUAAAUCUGCUCAUGCAAUAGUACAAGCCUGAAUCUGUCUUGGUUACGUGUUUGAGAGUCAAAACACAGGUUUUACCAUCAGGCUGAAGGACAUUAUUCUCAUAGCUACUAUUGACUGUCGUGAGUUUUCCAGUCCGUAGAUUCAUCUUUUUCCAUGCAGCAGAGGUAUAGCAGUACCUUAGGGUCUGCUCAAAUAUACAUCUUAACUCUACAGAACCACCGACUGAGACGAGUGUGAGUCCUGGAGACUGAGUCAAGAUGAAUGACUGAGUAGCUACAAA